This 250-nucleotide unclassified non-coding RNA is filed under the name plant metagenome. Its description in RNAcentral is "partial contains small subunit ribosomal RNA, internal transcribed spacer 1, and 5.8S ribosomal RNA". The record is from RNAcentral.
GUAGGUGAACCUGCGGAAGGAUCAUUAACACGUAUCCACGUAUCAACCCCUCUGCGAAACGUUAGAAACAGAAAGGUUUGGUCUUAGUGCGUUGUCCGUUUUAGGGUCCUAAUGAUGGCCGGUCUCUUUCGGGAGAUCGGAGGGCCUGGGCGACGUGUGUUUGACGAUCAACCGUUACUUUCCCAUUGUUGGCCUUUACAUUUUUUAACCCCUUUGUACUCUUUUGUACUGAACCAUUCUUUUGAUGCUC